GGGUCAGUAGGUUGGUCGUGCCACCGGUACGUACUGGUCUCACUGAUUCCUCCAUCCUGAAGAACCGUAAUGCCAUUAAUUUGGUGUUGCGGGGAAACAGGACUGUCACUUUGAAAAAAUUAGAGUGUUUAAAGCAAGCUAACGCUUGAAUACAUUAGCAUGGAAUAAUGAAAUAGGACGAUCGAUCCUAUUUUGUUGGUCUCUAGGAUUGACGUA
This 216-nucleotide ribosomal RNA is filed under the name Glomeromycotina sp. Its description in RNAcentral is "partial small subunit ribosomal RNA". The stretch from base 75 to 216 matches the Rfam family "Eukaryotic small subunit ribosomal RNA", at positions 721 to 864 of the family's 1831-position model. The record is from RNAcentral. Lineage: Eukaryota; Fungi; Glomeromycota.